AUGGCGUUGCCUGCUGGCGGCCUAACCUGUCGCCCCCGGCCCCCGCGUGUGGGGCGUGUGGGGUCUAAGAGAGAAUUGUGCGUGUCGGUGUCGGAACGCCCUGAGACCUCGUUUCCUCUCGGGUUAAUCAGAGUCUUCCGAGCUCUCAAGCCCUUCCUCCCCCCUCUCUCCCGCCGCUGCUGCGGAGAACCCGAGCCACCGGUGUGGCCUGGCCCAGCCCUCCCGAAGGGCGCGGCUUCAGGGCCCAGCUCCCCAGCAGACCGCGGAUUCCUACGCGGGGCGCUCCUGGGGCGGGAGGAGCACGCUCAGCCUCGCUGUCUCCAGGACUCCCACGCGCGAGCGCCCAGACUCGAGGCCCCGACGCCCCAUUUCCCGGCUUCGCGAUGGCCCCUUGAGGGACAGCCUCCACGAGACCUGGAUUUACACCCCGAGGCUGCCUUCCUCCGCUCUGGGAAGGACCCAAAAUCCAGUCCCGCUUCCUCCCCCUCCUUCGCUGUCCAGGGCCCCAAGGUGCCGAGCACCGGCCGGCGGGAGCCCGCAGGAGGCCGAGAGCUCCGUGCUCUCAGGACUAGGCGGCAGCGGGGGAGCCCCUGCGCGUUUGGGAGGGCGACCGAGCUCCGGCUCCCCUGGGUAUCCUCCCGGGAGCGUCUUCGGGGUAGAGGCUGGUCGCCCGGCGCUGAACGCGUCCGACCACGCCCGUUACGGUUUUGCGUUUAGAUUUCGUUGGGGCUCUCUGAAGGAGCAUAUCUGCUCCUCCUAUUGGAUGGGGAUGAGGCCGGGGACCCCGAGCCCACUGCGGAAACACCCGGUUUCCAGAGCGGACGGCUGCGCCUCGUUUCCCCGCGCAUCCUCUGGGCGGCUCCCGCAGCGCCCCGCUGGGGGCGAACCCCAAAGUCUGCCCAGGCCGCGGGCCUCGGCAACUCCCUAACAGGUCCACGAGAUGGCGCUGCAGGCCAGGGCCGGGGCCGGCCACCUGGAGAGAGAGCGGAAGGUAGACUGGGACCCCGGCAAGCGGGGCACGGAGACGCAGCCACAAAAGCACGCAGAGCCGGGUCCGGAGCCUCGCAUAGGCCGCCGAGGGACUUCGGGUCUGCGGACUCGCGGAGCUGAGGGCUCGAGGCUCAGGAUGGGCCUUUCUACCCUGCUUCCGGGGCCGCCCGGUAGCGCCAGCUCGGCGACCUUCCAAGCAGGCUGCAGACCCCGACCUGCCCUCUUCUGCGCGUCGGCAGGGCUGGACCCUCGCAUUCCCUCUGCGGGGAAGAAGCCGCGGGACUCCGGCCUCCCGGGCCCCUCCGUUGGGGGCUGUGGUUGGGAUCCGCGGCGCGCCGGGCGCACGGCCCUGGAAGCGCGGGGCCAACUCGGCGGUGAGGACUUGGGGGCGGGGUAGGGGAAGGAUCGGCGGGCAUCCAGCGCUCCACGCGCGGCGAGGGCACCCUCGGCUCCGACCCGCCCUCCUCACCACCCUCACCCGGGUCUUCAGGGCGGGGUCUUCAGGGUCGAGGGCAGGAUGUGCCCGGUGGAGCCGCUGCUGAGGUCCGGCCUCCGUAGGGGAGGCUUUGGGCUGCGUUAUUCAGCUGGAGGUGGUGGGGACUGGGGGAGGUGGUACAGGGGUCAGCCUGAGAAUGUCGCCCUUGGAUUGAAAGCCACCAAGGCUCUGUCUGGGUCAGGUCUGAAUAGGGGGCAAGGGAUGUGAGGCUCGUUGGCCGCGGAAUACCAGAGUUGGAGGGGGUGGGGCUUAGAAGCCUGUUUCCAGCUGAGCCUUUGUGUCCCCAGAUGAGCUCUGGCACCCUCAGAGAUUACCCCACACACGUUUCCUCAGGGCACACGGCUAGAAAGCAGCACAGCUAACACCAGAGGGUCAUUUCCACUGCAAUACAGUCACCGGCUGGGUGAUGUGACCCAGGCCAGAUGUCCCUGCACUAGGCUCUCAGCUCUUUUCUCUUUCAAAGUAGCGUAGCAGAGAAUAGGACCGAAUCUUGGUGAUUUAAUAAUUAUCUGCACGCUCAUCUAUGGCAGAGGUCACUGCUUGGUAGGAAAACUGGACAGGAGCUAGAUAGGUACAAGGUCGAACUCUGCCUCGAGAGCUGUGGGUGCUCUUCAAAAAUGUGACUUUAUUUUCUGGGCCCCAGAAUCCUCAUCUGCAAAAUAAGUAGUUUGGACUGAAAUCAGAUUGAUCUGUAAAUGGCCAGUUGACUUAGACCCAGUUUCCAAUGACCACCCCACCCAGCCUCAACUGCCCAGACAAGAGCCAUGUUCCCAUUGAAUGCUUGAGGAAUCUGAGCCAGAGGGAUAGGCAGAGUAACAGACCUGGAGGACCUUGCCAAGAUUCUUGGGGUGGGGGAGAGGGCUGGUGGCCUGGGUGAAUUCCCAAUGAGGAAAUUUUGUUCUAGGUCCAAGCCCCUCAGGGAAUCGGUGGCCUCCACUCCCUGUGGGGUGCGAUUGUUGGUCACAGCUUGGCCUUCCACCUUGAGCAAGCUGCUGUUGGAGAGCCACAGACUGUUGGUUUUGGGGAGGGGUGACUUUGGUCCCCAGCACCACACUUUGUUGACCGCAUGUGACUUCUCCCGGAAGAGAGAAAGGAAUACCAGUGAAGGCCAUUCAGGCACCCAGGUUUAAGGGUGUUCCCCAGGCUAAUUUCUCAUCUGCGAGGAAGCCCUCAUGACAGUCAACACACUUUCACAUGUGGUCUCUCCCCGACCCUGGCUGGCAGGGUGGAGAUUGUGAGUCCCCAUUUCACAGACAUGACAUUGAGGUUCAGAGAACUGAAGUGAGGUGCCCAAGGCCAUCCACUAAGUAAAGGACAGAGCUCUUUCACAAUCCUGUGGGCCUGGCCCUUGGAAACCUUCACUGAUGAAGUGAUGAUGGGUGAGAGUCAGACUUGCAACAGGAAAAGGGCAAAAGGGGCAGAGGAUGGAGUGCCCAGAUAUUGGUGAGAGAAGCAGCCUGGCUCAGAGCCUAAGUCCAGCAGGCCGGGGAAGUGGCCUCAUGGCUCCCGUCAGCCCAGCUGGGCCCACAGGGACCACUGGCCAGGGCAGGGGCUUCUCAGUGUAAAACUAACAGGAGCGUUGGGAGGGGGUGCGUCCCAUGCUCAGUUCAGGGUGUGGUUCAUGUUCGCUCUCAUUAUUAUUUACUUCUCUCCCAAAGAGAACAAGUAGGAUGCACUCUGGCCCCAUGGUGCCUGCUCCUCAGCCUGACAGGAGCAGCUGUGGAACGGCCACUGUGUGCUUAACAUACACACAGAUGUUUUAUUUAAUUCUCAGCACUGGGUGGUUGGUACGAUUACCUCCAUUUUACAGACAAGAAAAUGGCCAAAGGUGAUAGAGCGGCUAAGAAGCAGGUCACAGGGCCACACCAGGCUCUGGCAGACCCCAGGCCUGUGCCUACCGUUCCUGCUCCACAGCCCCUAGGCUGCAGAGAACCCUGGCAUUUGGCCUGUGGCGGGCUGUCCUGGGAGCUGGUUUUCAUGUAGCCCUGGACUGGCUGGUCGAUUCCUUCAUCCAGCCCUCACUUUGGGUUUUCUUUAUUUCCUUCUUGGGGGGCUGUCCACACUUCCAUGCUUUGCCUACCCACAACCAUCCCCAUUUGCCCACGACAGUUCUGGUUUGAGUACUGGCAUUCUGAGUUCUGGAAAACCUCUCAGUUUUGAGCAAGUCACCCAGUAGGUCACCCUGCCAUCCCCACACACAUACCCCUACACUGGGCCAGAAGACCCAGGAAUAAGUGAAACAGACAACAGCGCCCUUAUUGAGGAGCCAAUGAUCUGGUACAAGAUAGCAACAUUCAAUGAGUUGUCCUCCCAAAAGAAGACAAAGUGGUGCAUAGGGUGGGGUGGGAAAAGACUUAGCCCCAGGAAACUGGGGGCAGAGAGGAGCUGCAGAGACUUAGAGAGGCUGGGGAGCUGGCAACUGGCCUGGUUUCUCCAAGGAAAGCUACCCCACCAAACAUCUUCACAUUGCGCAUGUCUCCGUGUGUUCAUGUAUGUCUGUGUGGCAGGUGCAUGUCUAUGUGCGUAACACUCGGCAGGAGUGCAGAAAGCCCUUGCUGGGUGAGUGACUGAAGUGCACCUGGUCCCUCCAGGAUACUCUCCCAACACCCAGCCUCAGGUCCUGGGCCAGAGGCCCGUUCUCCAAAUCCACUUGUGUCCCCCACGGAGAAUUCUGGAGGGCUUCCGGUCUUCCUUUCAGCCAAGAGGGCCUCCUCUCUCUCCUGGGGAACUGAGGCCCAGGGAGUGUGUGUGUCUUGCUUGAGGAUGUGCCUCUGCAGGAGAAAGUUCCAGGCCAUCCACAGACACUCCUGGCCCUCAAACCCUGCUCUCUACCUGUGCGGGUGAUUCUGUGCUGCCUAAGGGUCUGGAAAUUUCUGGUCUCUGGAGCAACAGGGCAGACCUCUCCACCGGGGUCCCUUGGGGAAGCUCCUAGCAUGUUUGUCCCCACAAUCUUUCCUCUGGAGUAGAGGGCCUUCCUCAAAUGCAGCUGAGAUGAAGUCACUGCCCUGGUUAAAGCCUCCCAAUGCCUUCCCUUGCUCUUGGGGUCAAGCCCAGCCUCUUUGGCCUGGCACUGAGGCCUGUGUGAGUCCUGCCUACUCACCCCCCUCCCCAGGACUCCUCCCCCACUGCCCACCUCUAGGCUCGUUUUGCUGGCCUUGCCUUGGCCUCCCCAUACGCACAUGAUUUUUCCUGGGCUUGGAAUGCUCUUCCUGCCUUCCUCCAAAAAACUCAGCCCACUGGCUCCUUCUCCAGGGAGCUGCUCCUCUGCCUUCUCCCUCCUGAGUUGGGUGCCCACGCACGCCCUGUCUCGUGUUAGUGGUCAACGAAUGUGUGGACUUGGGCAAGUUACUCUACCUCUCCAUCACCCCUGCAAAGUGUGGAUACCAGCACCUGCUCCUGCGUGGUUCAUAGUGGGGCUGGUCUGGAGCUUGGACCAAUGAGUGAUGGUUCCCGCCCCUUGGGGGGGACCCUAAGCACUGCUGAGGACGGAGCCUGGGGCGCUGUGCGAGUGGGGAAAUAACCCUCAGCCCAGCGCAGCCGCCAGGGCUGGGCCUGCCAGAGAGGAGCCCCUUUCCCACCCUGGAGGCCAGGCGCGGGCCAAGGAGACUGAAUGUGCCCUAAACCUGGGGGUUUAGACUAGAGGGGGCCCAAGGGCCUGCCUGCUGGGUGUCUGCGGAUGAACGGCGGCGAAAUCCUGAGGCCAAAGAGCCUUCAUGCGCACGCGCGCUGGCGACACCUCCUCCCUCUCCCAGGGAAGCGCGGCCCGGGGAGUGGGUAUUUGUUGCCGCAGGGUGGUUGCUGGUGACCCGGCUGGAUUAAUAUCUUCUGUGGACUGCCUGCGCUGUGCGGGCAGUGGCUCCCACCUACCACUAGAUGGGGAUCUGGAGUCGUUCAAACCAGGAGUCGGGGCUUGGGUUCAGGCCUGGAGCCCCUCGCCCUCCUGCCGCCAGCCAGGGUUUCCCAGCCUGCCUGGCUGCAGCCUCCCAGACACUGGGCCCGCGCCCUGUGCCUCCACUUUCAUUUCUAGCUAGGCACUGCUGCCAGGGGAUAACAUUGAGGGAAACGAAUGAGAACACGGACUGUGCAGCCAGAGAGCCCUUGGGUUCAAAUCCCAGCUGCACAUGCGGUUUCUGGGGCUUUGGCUCCUUCCUCAUCUCUGAAAUAGACUCAUUUACUUAUUCUGCAAAGGGCAGGAGGAAAUGUGGCUGCCCUAAUCACCACUCAGAGUUGUGGGAAUGGGCAGUGUCUUGUGUGCUCUGAUCCCUCACAUAGCACAGCUAACCGGGGACAGUGGCUGUGUUCCAAGUCUUCCCCGUGCCCCUGUCUCACUGAUAGAAACGUACCUGUCCCACGGCUCCCUCCCUUGGGACCUUGCUGGGAGAGAGGGGCCCAUCUGACUUAAUGCACUGCCUUUCCAGAUGCUGUACUGGCAGCUUCCAUCCGAGCUGGAGUGGGGGACCAGACUCUGGCCUGGGUCCCAGGGGCACCAACGCAGAGGCACAGAUGUCUCCCCUCACGCCACGCCUAUCACACAAGGGCCCUGCCUCUUCUUCCUCUAUGAGGCUCUGGGCCAGGGCUGAGGGAUGAUUUCCCUUCUCCUCCAUUCACAGGCAGAAAAAUUGAGCUUCAGAGAACCCAAGACAGAUUCUAUCAGUGGGGAAAAGCAAAGAGUUGGCCCAGGGAAAGGGAACAUGGAGGUUGGGGUUGCACCAGUCUUGGUCUUGGUCACCUUGGUUCAGGUGUCCCCUUCUUUCAUGCCUUGUGGUCUUUUCCCUGACAUAGGAGAGAUUUGUAUGACAGUCCCCAUCUAUUCAGACAUCAGAACCUGCCACGCCCAGAGAGAGCUGCUCUCCCUCUCACCCCUUUGGGAGCCAGAGGUCUCUUCCCCAGGGUGGAAAGAUGGAGGUUAAGAAGGGGUUAACCCUUCUUGUGUUCACAGAACUUCAACAAGGAUGCAUUGAGUGACGGCUACAGUGUCACGUGUGGGGAGUCCUCCCUCUAUCUCUCACACACUCUGGACUCCUUGCUAUUUUUUCUUUCUUUUUAAAAAUUGAGAUGUUAUUUGCAUAAAACAUACUAUGAAAGGGUACAAUCCAUUAGUUUUUACUCUACCAGAUUGUGCAACAAUCACCACUGUCACUCUGCAGCCCUUGACAACCACGAAGCCGCCCUCUGUUUCUGUGGGUUUGCCCAUUCUGGACAUUUCAUAUCAACAGAAUCAUAUGCUUUGUGCCGUUUUGUGACCGGCUUCUUCCACUUAGCUUACUGUUUUCAAGGCUUACCCAUGUUGUAGCACAUAUUGAUACUGUCAUCCUUUGUACCACUCAGCCAAAUUCCAUCACGAGGCUAUUCACCUCUUAUUUCUGCAUCGUCAGUUGAUGGGCAUUUGGGUUGUUUCCGCUUUUGACUAUUAUGAAUAAUACUGCUCUGAACAUUCACGUCCAAGUCUUUGUGUGAAUAUGUUUUCAUUUCUGUUGGGUAUGUCUAGGAGUGGAAUCACUGGGGCAGAUGGUAAUGCUAACUUUUCUCCCCACCAGCAUCCAAAGCAGUUAAUGCUAACUUUUUGAGGAACUUAGCAGUUAGCACUUACCAAAGUGAUAACUUUUUAUCCAAGUGCUGACUUUUUGAGGAACCACCAAACUGCUUACCAUGCCACCAUCCCACCAGCAAUUCCUUGCCAUUUCUUGAAUGUGCCAGCCACACUGCUCCUUGGUCCCUGACUUCUUUCUUGGCGAGGCCAUCAUUGGCCAUCUGAUGGAAAACAGGAGCCCACUUUCAGCCUCUCCACUCCCUUCCUCUCCCUGCCUCUGUUGUCGAUAUCAGAUGUGCAGAGACUAUUUUACUUACUUAUUUUGUUUAUUGUUUCCCCUCACUAGAAUUGAGCUCCGUUCAUGGUUCUAUCAUUGGUCCUAGAACAUUUUAUGGCACAUCUAGGUGCUCAGUCAAUGUUUGUUGAGUAACAUGAGUGAAGGAAUGUAGGACGCCAUGCCAGGUACACAGGGCAGAACGUGGUGAGUUCUCAUGGAAAUGGACCAAGUGUGACCGAGGCCACAGGGAGGUAAACUGAGCAUCACCAGGGCCUCCUGCCUAUACAUUUCUCCACCUAUCAAGUUGACCUCGGGGGCUCAGGACAACCCAUGCUUUCACCCUCAUCAGACCAGCAGAGAAGAACCGGGCCUCCUCCCCCAAACUGGGCAAGAGCUGGGGAUACAGGUUAGUUAGCCAUGUUGUCAUCACAACAGUUCUGUCUCCUGCAUGGGACACUGUAGACAAUGCAGUGGUUGAGGAAGGAUUUGAAGGGUGGCAACUGGGGAGGGGAUUCAUGUGUCAGUGCCCUGCAUCAGCCCUGUCUGUCCCCACCCAGGUCUCCAUCUGCCUUGGAUACCCAGAUGUGAGAGCUGCUCAGUCGGGAAGGAUGUUGGCCUUUCCCAUGCCAGGAGUGAGGGUCACAGUCCCAGCUGUCCAGCUGACCCAGCAGGCAUUUUAUGGCUUCACCUCAGCUGGCCUCUGGACAUAUUAGUCAGGAGUCCUUCUGUCAUAAGGGCAGAAAUCCAACUCAAGCUGAAGAAAAAGGGCAGUGUGUUGGCUUGUACAGGAUUUGGGGAGUGCAGGGAAGGGACAGCUGCCUUCAGAAUGCUGGGGGCUAGAGACACAUGCCCUGGCACUGGCUCUCUCUGUCUCCAUCUCUCUCCCUUGCUUUUUCUCUCAUUUCUUUCCUCUCUGUGUUGGCAUCAUUCUCUCCUACCACAGAUGGGCUUCUUCAUGUGGCAGGGGGCUUGGCUGCAGGCAGCUGUGAGUUACAGAAAUCCAGCUUCGUGGCUCAAAAGGGAAGGAAAUGGCUCUGCUGUUCUACUUAGAACAAUCCCAAGGAAACACUCAGAUUGACCCCUGGGAUCAUAUGCCCAUCUCCCUCCUCCACCACUGUUGUCAGUGCGGCCACACCAGAAAACCAGGCUUGCUGGUCUCUCUCAAAAUGCACACUGACUCCCUAGUACUUCCUUCACAAUAUAGUUCUCUCUCUCUCUCUCUUUCUUUGGGACAGGGUCUCGCUCUGUCAUCCAGACUGGAGUGCAGUGACAUGAUCACAGCUCAUU
RNA transcript from Callithrix jacchus (white-tufted-ear marmoset), 8580 nucleotides. It is a transcript of the gene named long intergenic non-protein coding RNA 2875, with no coding region annotated. The record is from RefSeq and is a predicted model, not a curated record. Lineage: Eukaryota; Metazoa; Chordata; Mammalia; Primates; Cebidae.